AUACGGAGGGUGCAAGCGUUAUUCGGAAUCACUGGGCGUAAAGGACGCGUAGGCGGGUUGGCAAGUCAGAUGUGAAAUCCUACAGCUUAACUGUAGAACUGCAUUCGAAACUGCUAACCUAGAGUAUGGGAGGGGGAGAUGGAAUUAGUGGUGUAGGGGUAAAAUCCGUAGAUAUCACUAGGAAUACCGAAAGCGAAGGCGAUCUCCUGGAACAUAACUGACGCUAAGGCGUGAAAGCGUGGGGAGCAAACAGGAUUAGAAACCCCUGUAGUCC
RNAcentral lists this ribosomal RNA (274 nucleotides) under uncultured bacterium. RNAcentral describes it as "partial 16S ribosomal RNA". It matches the Rfam family "Bacterial small subunit ribosomal RNA", at positions 523 to 796 of the family's 1533-position model. The record is from RNAcentral.